UACGAGAGGCCCAAACGGUAUUCGGAAUCACUGGGCUUAAAGAGUUCGUAGGCGGCGCGGAAAGUGGGGUGUGAAAGCCCUCGGCUUAACCGAGGAAUUGCGCUCCAAACUGUCGCGCUUGAGGAGGCUAGAGGUAAGCGGAACUGAUGGUGGAGCGGUGAAAUGCGUUGAUAUCAUCAGGAACACCGGAGGCGAAGGCGGCUUACUGGGGCCUUUCUGACGCUGAGGAACGAAAGCCAGGGGAGCAAACGGG
This 253-nucleotide ribosomal RNA is filed under the name uncultured bacterium. Its description in RNAcentral is "partial 16S ribosomal RNA". It matches the Rfam family "Bacterial small subunit ribosomal RNA", at positions 524 to 776 of the family's 1533-position model. The record is from RNAcentral.